UGAAAUGCGAAAAGUAAUGCGAUUUGCAUGAAUCUGUGAGUCAUCAAGUUUUUGAACGCACCUUGCACCGUAUGGGCAACCGUACGGUAUACCUGUUUGAGAAUCGUAAAAACCUCUUUCCACCACUUGUGGUGGGAGACUUGUCGGUUGUGCCGGAAGGCACUCUGAUCAAAUGCAGUAGGUCUGAAUCAGGCUAGUGGCCUGGGACACUGUGUGCUAGAGACGUCUCGUACUGUCUUCUCAUGGUGGGUCCUGGGCUAUUUAAGCUGGGCUGAUGAAACCUCUACAGUCUGUGCAUACUUUGGUGUGUGCUGACAACCCCACAAUUUGAUCUCAAAUCAGGUAAGGCUACCCGCUGAACUUAA
RNAcentral lists this unclassified non-coding RNA (365 nucleotides) under uncultured fungus. RNAcentral's name for it is "sequence contains ITS1". The stretch from base 1 to 106 matches the Rfam family "5.8S ribosomal RNA", at positions 49 to 154 of the family's 154-position model. The record is from RNAcentral. Lineage: Eukaryota; Fungi.